GACGAACGCUGGCGGCGUGCCUAAUACAUGCAAGUAGAACGCUGAAGAGAGGAGCUUGCUCUUCUUGGAUGAGUUGCGAACGGGUGAGUAACGCGUAGGUAACCUGCCUGGUAGCGGGGGAUAACUAUUGGAAACGAUAGCUAAUACCGCAUAAAAUGGAUUAUCGCAUGAUAAUCCAUUGAAAGGUGCAAAUGCAUCACUACCAGAUGGACCUGCGUUGUAUUAGCUAGUUGGUGGGGUAACGGCUCACCAAGGCGACGAUACCUAGCCGACCUGAGAGGGUGGUCGGCCACACUGGGACUGAGACACGGCCCAGGCUGCUUCGGGGAGGAGCAGGAGGGAAUCUUCGGCAAUGGGCGGAAGUCUGACCGAGCAACGCCGCGUGAGGGGAGAAGGUUUUCGGGUCGGAAAGCUCUGUUGUAAGGGAAGAACGAGUGUGAGAGUGGAAAGUUCACACUGUGACGGUAUCUUACCAGAAAGGGACGGCUAACUACGUG
This 497-nucleotide ribosomal RNA is filed under the name uncultured bacterium. RNAcentral's name for it is "partial 16S ribosomal RNA". It matches the Rfam family "Bacterial small subunit ribosomal RNA", at positions 28 to 507 of the family's 1533-position model. The record is from RNAcentral.